Molecule: ribosomal RNA, 537 nt
Filed under: uncultured bacterium
Lineage: Bacteria
Description: bacterial SSU rRNA
Rfam family: Bacterial small subunit ribosomal RNA
Source: RNAcentral
GCCUUUCAAUUGAGGGGCAGCCUGAUCCAGCCAUGCCGCGUGAGUGAUGAAGGCCUUAGGGUCGUAAAGCUCUUUCGCCUGUGAUGAUAAUGACGGUAGCAGGUAAAGAAACCCCGGCUAACUCCGUGCCAGCAGCCGCGGUAAUACGGAGGGGGUUAGCGUUGUUCGGAAUUACUGGGCGUAAAGCGCACGUAGGCGGAUCAGAAAGUUGGGGGUGAAAUCCCGGGGCUCAACCCCGGAACUGCCUCCAAAACUCCUGGUCUAGAGUUCGAGAGAGGUGAGUGGAAUUCCGAGUGUAGAGGUGAAAUUCGUAGAUAUUCGGAGGAACACCAGUGGCGAAGGCGGCUCACUGGCUCGAUACUGACGCUGAGGUGCGAAAGUGUGGGGAGCAAACAGGAUUAGAUACCCUGGUAGUCCACACCGUAAACGAUGAAUGCCAGUCGUCGGGUAGUAUACUAUUCGGUGACACACCUAACGGAUUAAGCAUUCCGCCUGGGGAGUACGGUCGCAAGAUUAAAACUCAAAGGAAUUGACGGA